RNAcentral lists this ribosomal RNA (406 nucleotides) under uncultured bacterium. RNAcentral's name for it is "partial 16S ribosomal RNA". It matches the Rfam family "Bacterial small subunit ribosomal RNA", at positions 30 to 526 of the family's 1533-position model. The record is from RNAcentral.
AUUGAACGCUGGCGGCAGGCCUAACACAUGCAAGUCGAACGAGUGGCGGACGGGUGAGUAAUGUCUGGGAAACUGCCAGAUGGAGGGGGAUAACUACUGGAAACGGUAGCUAAUACCUCAUACCAUCAGCUGUGCCCAGAUGGGAUUAGCUUGUUGGUGGGGUAACGGCUGACCCAGGCGACCAUCCCUAGCUGGUCUGAGAGGAUGACGAGCCACACUGGGACGGAGACACGGUCCAGAGUCCUACGUGAGGCAGCAGUGGGGAAUAUUGAACAAUGGGCGAAAGCCUGAUGCAGCCAUGCCGCGGGUAUGAAGAAGGCCUUCGGGUUGUAAAGUACUUUCAGCGGGGAGGCGUUACCGGCAGAAGAAGCACCGGCUAACUCCGUGCCAGCAGCCGAGGUAAUUC